UUGAGAUGGCGACCGGGCAAACGGGUGCGGAACACGUAGCACUUCCUUCGAGCGGGGGAAUAGCCCAGAAGAAAUUUUGGGNUUAUUACCCCAUUAGCAUUAAUUAAAAUGGCUUCAUUCAUUUUUUAAAGGCUUCGGCACUUGAAGAUGGGCGUGCGGGCUGAUUAGGUAGUUGGCGGAGUAACAGCCCACCAAGCCUGGGAUCAGUAACUGGUGUGAGAGCAUGACCAGUCACACGGGCACUGAGACNCGGGCCCGAAUCCUACGGGGAGGCAGCAGUAAGGAAUAUUGGUCAAUGGACGAAAGUCUGAACCAGCCAUGCCGCGUGGAGGAUGAAGGCCCUCUGGGUUGUAAACUUCUUUUAUUUGGGACGAAAAAAGGGAAUUCUUUCUCGUCUGACGGUACCAGAUGAAUAAGCACCGGCUAACUCCGUGCCAGCAGCCGCGGUAAUACGGAGGGUGCAAGCGUUAUCCGGAUUCACUGGGUUUAAAGGGUGCGUAGGCGGGCAGGUNAGUCCAGUGGUGAAUUCCCCCGGAGCUUAACUCCGGGAACUGGCAUUUGAUUACUAUCUGGUCUUGGAUAUUGUGGAGGUUAACCGGA
RNAcentral lists this ribosomal RNA (600 nucleotides) under uncultured bacterium. Its description in RNAcentral is "bacterial SSU rRNA". It matches the Rfam family "Bacterial small subunit ribosomal RNA", at positions 82 to 666 of the family's 1533-position model. The record is from RNAcentral.